RNAcentral lists this ribosomal RNA (253 nucleotides) under uncultured bacterium. RNAcentral describes it as "partial 16S ribosomal RNA". It matches the Rfam family "Bacterial small subunit ribosomal RNA", at positions 524 to 776 of the family's 1533-position model. The record is from RNAcentral.
UACGUAGGGGGCAAGCGUUGUCCGGAAUCAUUGGGCGUAAAGCGCGUGUAGGCGGUUCGGUAAGUCGGCUGUGAAAGUCCAGGGCUCAACCCUGGGAUGCCGGUCGAUACUGCCGGACUAGAGUUCGGAAGAGGCGAGUGGAAUUCCCGGUGUAGCGGUGAAAUGCGCAGAUAUCGGGAGGAACACCUAUGGCGAAGGCAGCUCGCUGGGACGUUACUGACGCUGAGACGCGAAAGCGUGGGGAGCAAACGGG